CUGGUAUUAUAUAAGAAACCAAAAUUAAAAUUUCAGAUAAGCUUAGAAACUAAAAAAUUUAAAAAUAUUAUUCUGUUCUCCAUAUGUUCAUAUUUAAUAUUAUUUCUUGUUUUCAUUCUUCUUCAGUGUUGCUCUACUAAAAUAUCACAUACAAUAGGUACUUUGGAUUUCCGCUCUUAUUACUCAAAAUUGUACACAUUUUCUCAUGCUCUUAAUUUAGUUAUGCUACUUUUCUUUACUCUUGGAAUUUUCACACUUGUGUUCACUCUCUUUUGAGUUCUCAUAGUAUCAAAUAAGCUUUUUUCCCUCUUUCUGAUUUGAAGGUUCAUCUUCUCAUAAUUAUUUUGUCCGCUCAGUUUCUUUUCAUUCUCAGUUAAGUGCCUCUCAUCUGGCUUUUCAUUUGUAAGGUUUAUUUUCAUCUUAAGCCAGUCUUUUAUUUAUAUUUUGAUUCUGUUUUGUGGAGGACAUACUUCCCUGAAUUUUAAGGAAGAGGCCAAAAGGUUUGUUCAAGUUUUUACCUGAUAGAUUGGAUUAAAUUAUCUAAUGUACACACCCUUAAUUUAAGUCUAGGGGCGACUCUCUACUCUCGAUUUUGUAUAGCAUUAUUUUUCUUAACAUCCAAGUCCAUCUUCAUCUAUUUGUAUAUGAUCAAUAAAAAUAUAUUUGUCCAGAACCCUGCUUUAGUGGAGUUACUUCUUUCUAAGUAGUAGAGGUAGCAGUUGAGACAUGAGCUGGGUUCUGGGUCAGUUUAGAGGGCUGGGCGACAUUCCUCCUUUUGGUCUGUAUGACUGAAUGAAUGCAGUUCUUGCUGUCUCGCUCCUCUCCUUAACACAUUGAGCCAUUGCAGCAGAUGAGAAGGAAUAAUCCUGAUCUGCCACUCAGGUGGAACACAUGUUCUCUCCAACCACAUCCAUAGAUUGUACUCACACUCGGCUAGAAUGUAUCCUGUCAAUGAUAUGGAGAUGUAUCUAUCUAUCUAGAUAGAUAUCUACUUUGGUUUAUGCUCUCUGGUUGCCCGUAAAUUAUCUCCUUAAAGUGAAUAUCAAAAGAGAGCUUGGUGAUGGCAGUGUUAUAAAAUCCUCAAAAUGCAGCACCCACACCCAGAGGUAUUUGUAGAUUCUGGGAUUCUAAUUCAGAUACCAAACUAUAUUAAAGGGGCAUUGGUCAUUGAGGGUUGCUAGGCUCUUUGUGGAGCAUAUUUGCUCUUUUCAUGACUUUGAAAUUAUUUUAAAAAUCUAACGUUUUUCUCAGUCUGCUGCAAGAUGAUUUGAUUUGAAUGUAUAAGCACUAAUUCUCCCCUAAGAUUUGUACAAUAUAUUUGCUCUGACAAGCCAUAACCAGCAACUCACUUCACAGCAAUUUAUAGCAUUUCCACGAUAAGUUGAAUUAUUUUUAACUAGAUUCUCUUUGCCUUAAUCAAAAUAUGAAGAAGCAAUAUACUUGUUCUAGUUAGGUUCAAAAGUUGGCAGUCUCUCUCCUCGAAAGAAUAAUAAAACUUUUCAACGGCCUAAUAUGCAUCUAUAGACACACACACACACGCACACACACGCAAGCACUAUUCAUAAUAUUUAAAGCACAUUCUGUUCUAUGACUUCAUUUGUCUAGCACAAAAUAAAACGAUCUCAGUAUAUGUCAAGUACCAAUUUUU
This 1648-nucleotide long non-coding RNA is filed under the name Homo sapiens (human). Its description in RNAcentral is "HSALNT0161662". Lineage: Eukaryota; Metazoa; Chordata; Mammalia; Primates; Hominidae. The record is from RNAcentral.